Molecule: long non-coding RNA, 2775 nt
Filed under: Brassica napus (rape)
Lineage: Eukaryota; Viridiplantae; Streptophyta; Magnoliopsida; Brassicales; Brassicaceae
Description: long non-coding RNA (BNAP_LNC005777)
Source: RNAcentral
UUAAUUAUCUUUUCUAUUAAGCUGGAGUCUCGCAGUAUCUCCAAAUUAUUAUUAUUUUUGAUGCAUUUUCACUCUGAUUGUAAUAGUGGUUCAAAUCUCGUUGAGAUGGGAUGUUUUACUGUCCACCUGUCGAAAUCCUCUAGUAACAUUACUUGACUCGAGCAAAAAAGCUGAGACUGACGAAAAAAGUUCAAGAAAGAGAGUAUAAUGUAAGUUAGGUCGCUGGAGUUUACACAUAUAUCUAUAUGCUCGUCUCCUCCAUUAACCACCAACAGAGUAAAUUGGUAAACCUCUAACCGGCACCAAAUUGAAUCCUUAGGGUUUCCGCGCAUCGAAAACUGUAGAAAAUUAAGCUGGCAAUUGGAGCUUUUUGUUGUUCUUCCAGCUGCAAACAUAAAACAGAAGAGAACAGUCAAAGGCAGAAGUAGAGUUAGGAACAAAAGGAGAGGAUAAGGUGAUGGUUUUACCUAAGGAAAUAAUAGUAGAAGAAGUCGGCAUAGAGCAAUGUCUGGACAAGCCCCGCGAUCCAUGCUGCAUCAUCGUAAUCACACAGUCCAUUUUAACAUGCCAGAUAUACAAAGACCAGCGGAUAUUCCACAAAGAAAACAGUGAAGGACAAUGAGAAGGAGUGAUGCAUAUUCAGGACAUAUGCUUUCUACAAGUUUCAUGUGGCAAAGAAGCUACAUAUAUGCUGCAUCUAUUGAAACGCUAAAUUAAGCUAACAAUGAAGAAGGUUAAGAGAGAGAGAGAGAGAGAGUCAUACUUAUCCAGUGAACAAAGUGGGGCUCAGUGAAGUAACGGUAGAUCCAGUUUAGGAUGUACAAUCCCCUGUACCCACUGCAAGAAGAUGACAAUCAAGAGAAGUCAAAGGAAGAAGAAGCAAUAGGUAAAUAUACACUUAUACCCCUUGGGUUAAUUAAUCCAAACCUUAGGGUUUAGAGUUAAGGGGUGGGGUUUUGGAAUUAGGGUUUAAAAUUUUAUAAAAAAUAAAUACUAAAAUAAAAAAUAAAAAUUUUAAAAACAGUUUCAAAAAAUAUUUUUAAAUUAUAAAAAGAAAAUUUGAAAAAAAAUAAAAAAAAAAUUUCGAAAAAAAAAUUUCAAAAAAAAGUUAUAAAAAUUUCGAAUCUGAAAACAUAUAAUCUGAAACUAUAAAAAAAAUUUAUUUUUUGUUUUUUAUUUUUUUAUUUUUAUUUUUUAUUUUUGUUUGUUUAUUUAAUUUUAAACCAAGGGUAUUAGAGAUAUUUUACUCUUUAAUGAAUGUCAUUUUUGUGACUUUCUCCUUCUAGUACUAUUUUUGAGACAUAAACUUCAAAAGGUGCUAGUAUUGACAAUUGCCCAUUUAAUUACACACCAUAUGAUCAUACUUGCCUGGUCACUAAUAAAUAGAACCCUUUGGAGUUUGGACUAUACAAUUUCUUGUCUUUUUGUAUUUUUAUAAGAGGAAACAAAAGAAAGAGAUACUAACCUGAAGACUGAUCCAUGUAGAGAUCAACUUCUUUGCCAGAGUGAAGUGUGGAAAUAUGACCUUGACCCCAUUUAACAACAUAGUUCUGACCGAAAGUAACAUAUUUCUCGACUCCUCUCCCUCCGAUAAACCUAGCAUCAACCAUUGUUAUCCAUAACCAUAACGCUACUGCAAAAACACCAAAGAUUUUCGUAUGUAUCAUCUUGGUUUGGUUUUUCUCUGAGGUACUAUAGUGUUGCACCUAUACAAGCUGGUUUAAUAAGGUUGAAAAAGUGGAAAGCAUGAAAGAUAUGGUGGAGACAGAGAGAUUAGAGUCACAUCAAAUUCUCUAUACAUCUCCUACACGCCAGUUCUUAUUGUCCCAUGCCCAUCACCAUUCUCUCUUUCUUUUUCUUCGAGAUGUAGUUAUCCAUUAAAUAUUCUUUUCUACAAUAGCGCUAUUAUGAGAAGUAUGUUGCUUCGAUCGACUAUGGAUAUCACUUAUAUGAUUUUAGGUGCGUGGAAAAUUUGAUGGAGUUAGAAUAUAUGCAUAUAAGAAAUGUUAAGAUUAUCAAGUUUUGUUACGUGUUGAUAAAAAAAAAAGAAUUAAGUGUUGUUACGUCAACUUGAAAAUACACAAGACAGCCUAAAAAUCAUAGGUUUAAUAACCCCUGCUAAUAAAAUAAAAACAAACGUUAAGAUUAGUUGUAGUUCUAAAUUUGUGUUCUCUUUCUUUUUCGUAUUGAGUUAAUGAAAAGACAAGAAUCUAUGAUCUAUCGUAUAGUGUUCCGAACAUGACUGUAUAGAAGUUUGAAUUGUAUAGAGACGGGUGUGCAUGUUCUAGAUGUGCAAAGCUUCAUAUUUAAUGCUCAAAGACUUCCCUAAAUUAGUACCAAAUUCACGAAAGUGAUGGAUGAGAUUUUAGAACCUUAAUUAUCUACCGACAAAAAAAAAAGCUUAAUCUUUCAUUGUUUUUUAAAAAAGAAGCUUAAUUAUCUUUUCUAUUAAGCUGGAGUCUCGCAGUAUCUCCAAAUUAUUAUUAUUUUUGAUGCAUUUUCACUCUGAUUGUAAUAGUGGUUCAAAUCUCGUUGAGAUGGGAUGUUUUACUGUCCACCUGUCGAAAUCCUCUAGUAACAUUACUUGACUCGAGCAAAAAAGCUGAGACUGACGAAAAAAGUUCAAGAAAGAGAGUAUAAUGUAAGUUAGGUCGCUGGAGUUUACACAUAUAUCUAUAUGCUCGUCUCCUCCAUUAACCACCAACAGAGUAAAUUGGUAAACCUCUAACCGGCACCAAAUUGAAUCCUUAGGGUUUCCGCGCAUCGAAAACUGUA